RNAcentral lists this ribosomal RNA (219 nucleotides) under uncultured bacterium. RNAcentral describes it as "partial 16S ribosomal RNA". It matches the Rfam family "Bacterial small subunit ribosomal RNA", at positions 524 to 743 of the family's 1533-position model. The record is from RNAcentral.
UACGUAGGGUGCAAGCGUUGUCCGGAAUUAUUGGGCGUAAAGAGCUCGUAGGCGGUCUGUCGCGUCUGCUGUGAAAACUCAGGGCUUAACCCUGAGCUUGCAGUGGGUACGGGCAGACUAGAGUGCGGUAGGGAGACUGGAAUUCCUGGUGUAGCGGUGAAAUGCGCAGAUAUCAGGAGGAACACCGGUGGCGAAGGCGGGUCUCUGGGCCGUAACUGA